Long non-coding RNA from Betta splendens (Siamese fighting fish), 9193 nucleotides. RefSeq lists it as uncharacterized. The record is from RefSeq and is a predicted model, not a curated record. NCBI's taxonomy places the organism in Eukaryota, Metazoa, Chordata, Actinopteri, Anabantiformes, Osphronemidae. The transcript is spliced from 3 exons.
GACGGCUGCCAUUGGCUGAGGGAGAGGAUGGAGGUGCGUGCUGCUGAGACGGCCAUGCUGCAAAGGACGAAAGUGAAGCGGUAAAGGACAGGUGACAACACAGAGCACUGCCUUCAUGACCAGGCGCGUCUGCUGUAAAGGGGCAGCGAUGCUCGGCCAAUGGCAUCGGCGCUAUUGAUGACAAGCCCCCGGCCUCGCUUACCUGCGCCCCUUCCCGUCGCUCAGCCCCGUCGCAGUCCCAUCGCUGCCCCGCAGCUCGUCGCAAAGAGCUCCGCUGCUGCAGAGCACCUCCCCGUGAACAAGCAUUCAGACGGAGGAAACCUCCAGCAGAACCGGGCUCAGGGUCGCCGGUUAAGCACCUUGACCAGCGAUGGUGAGAUUUUCUCAGCAUAUCACUUCAACAGCAGCUUAUCAGGAGGAGAAGUCCCCAACUUGACUGUCAGUGCUGAGUUUCAGACAUUUGACCUCUGGAGGUCACCUGGCCAUCACUGGUAUUGGCGAGCCAUUCACCUCUUCACCAUGAGAACGCACUCCAGGCCUCGAUCUCCCAUUUCGUCUUGUCUAACGGUGAUUGUCUGUGUUAUCAGCUGUGCUUUCCACAUGUGUAACCCUUAUCCUUACUGGGUCCAGUUUUGUGUCUUCAUAAACUUCUACAUAUCAAAGCCUGUCCUUCCUCUACCUAGUGAGCAUUUACCCUGAAUAAAUGUGUCUUUUCCUCCACAAACCAAACUUUGUUCCAAAAUUAGGAAUUUCCCUUUUUUCUUUUUGGUAAAAAAGGCAAUUGUACUUGCUCAGCUUUUAAUCCCCCUUUAGCAACGUGAUUGACAAAUGAAUUCCCCACAAUAAAAGCUGCUCUGAGCUGCUGUAAUUCUAAUCAUAAUGAGCACAAUAGCCCGGGCUGCACUACAAUCUGUCUCAUAUAGAUGUGAUCUCCUCUGCUUAACGGCAAGCGAAUGACACAGCCAGAAUUUGAACAGAACAUUUUAUCACUUGUACAUUUUCCAAAAGAACACAGGGUUAAACUCACAGGAAUGGAGGAAAGCGUGUCAGUCUCUCUGGAGUAGACAGAUUUCAAAGCACAGCAGCAGCCGUGAGCCAAAUACCGUUUUAUUCCGAGCAUAGCUGAUCGACACCUCUGGGCUCUGUUGAUUACAACAUUAGGACACAGUUCUCCGCAGCACAUGCCUUAAGUGUCCAUUCACACCUAUUCGUCACAGUUUAUCCCGCCUGACAGCUUGUUUACGUGACAGGUAUUUAUGUUAAAACACAGAGUUCUGAACUGUCUGCGUUGCAAAGGAGAAAAAAACGACCGUCUCUGCAGUUCUCAUAUCCCCUGUGUGUAUUUGCCAGCUGAAGGCCAGACGAUGGAGCAAAGGGCCCCGAAUCCGCCACCUCCAGCUGCAGCAGGGAUCCACAUGUUGACGUUACGGGUGGGUCUCUGUUUUCCGUCUCUCUCUUUGCUCGAGGGGUGCUUUAAAUCCCCCAACUUUGCUAAUGUUGAUGUUCUCCCUUCGCCUUGUAAAAAUCCGAUUAAACUCCCACCCAAACAGAUAAAACAUGCACGUGUGGCUGACGCAGAAAUGAGCUUGAUAUUGUUUCUAUAUUAAACUAAUGACAAAAUCAAGAUGGGAAUUUCCAUCUUUGACAAUUCAAUGCUGCUAUUUUUGUGUGUACAUCUCAUUCGUAGCUCGGCUACUUGCUAUUCCCUACCAGCACUUCCUAUCUAGGGGAGCAGAGGAAAUAAAAGGGACAAUGGCUGUGUGGUGCAUAUGAUUCGAUUUCCAACACUAUUAUACUGUAUAUACAAAAGACACCUUUUUACAGAGUACUGCACAGUACACGCAGUGGAUGAUUUUUUUAGGGAUUUUUAAAAGGAAACUGUAAUUUAGCAUGUGUUUAGAGGGUUUGAGAAGUACUGCUGUGUAUGUGAAGAGAGUACAAAUCAAUUCAGCGAGCGAGUCCAGAGGGGCAGUGUGAGGUCUUUUAUUUGGAAAAGAGCUACUAUAACCUGCUCUCGCUCUCCGCUUGAUGCUUAAAGCUAUUUCUGACCAAUCUGUCGGCGAACACGCUGCAUUGUGGGUAAUAGGUGCCACAUUUGGACAAGGAAGAAGUAUGAGUGGAAUAUAAAACCUCUACCUCCAGUUUUGCUACAUUGAUUUUUAUCACUUUCGUUUUCUCACAUCGGGUCUUAAAUGCAGGACAUGAAGUAAAGUGUGUCCAGUGUGUAUGUACAAAGCCUGUUUAUAGACUAGGCAUAUUCCCCAUUAUAAACACUCCUAGGUAAGACAUGGGAAGAGAUAUACAGGCUGUCCAGAGUAGAGUGAAUAAGAUGACAGUGAUUUGUUCUUUAAAGAAGCAUUUUGUUCAAAGUACAGUACAAAAACACGGCAAGGUGAACUUCACAGAAAAUAGGAUUCUUUUGGUUGAAAACAGUACAAAAAAUAUUUAAUAAAAAUAUUUAUUUUGAGAAAAUAUCUCAAAAUAUUUGAGAACAACUGAUUUAAUAAGAUCAGCACAAAAAACAAGGGCAGACAGCAAAAGUGUACAGUUUAAUACAGUGUCUCAGUUAGGUCUGUGUUUAUGCCGAUGUUUGACAAAUGACUAGUAUGAGUAUUUGUGACACAGCUACACUGAUGUUUUUACAACCCAAACAGGUCACCAGUCCAUUAGUGGGUCACAUACUCACAGGCAACCACUAUCUCUCACACGUGGGGAGAACAUACAAAGUCGACAUUUUAUCAUGAAAGCCAUAAGAAAAUCAAUUUACCUUAGAUCUCCAAAUAUCCUAACGUUGUUUCUGCACCGACGUUCCGUCUCUUUGCUCGCUCCCUGACAAAGUUGUUUUAUAACAUUUGCUGUAUAGCAUACUAAUAUCAGUUUUCUUUGUCAGUGUAUUUUGAGUGAUGUAAGUGACAUAAACCCAUCCGGGUGGCUUUAGCGGACGCAAGGUUGCUAUGGCAACCAAGGGGCACUAUAGCCAGAUUAACAAAUGCUAAGAAGAAACUGCAAACAGAUUUUUUUGCAUCACACUGACUUGUUUCACAUGCUUCCCUAUCAACAAACUGUUAUUUUACUACUUGUUUAUGUAUUUGGCCAUAGUAAAUAACCAGCAUUGCACAAAGAAUGAAUUAUGAAAUCCGGCAUGAGUGAAAAGUCCUGGUUUAACUUAGUCCGAUUGACUUAUCCUGCCUGGACCUAUUCUAUUAAACUGAUCCUGGCUUACAAAGACAGCACUGAAUAAACAUCUGGAUGCUAUCUGAAUGGUCCUGCUCCUUAAGUUCAACUGGAAUAUUGGGAAAAUUCCAUUUUUAUGCAGUUAUGUGCAGCCCUCAGCAUUCAGUUGUCAGUUUCCGUCUGUGUAACUGAGAGAUUUAGAACAACAAACAGCGUUCAGUCACCAUGAGCGCUUCAAAGUCUUUCAACCACUAUAAUACGAUGACGUGCUCCUGACGACUGAAGCUCAGCGGCUGUUUACCGCUGCCUUGUGUUAGAAGUAUGACUUGUGCUAAUCAGCCUGAGAGCCUUUUGUGAUGUUGACCUACAGUGGGAAACAGCAUGUGGCACCUGUAUGAGAUGUGAACUAAAUGUAAACCAGGUCUAUUUGUAGCAGGUACAAAUGGUUCCUGCAUUGUGUUCCCCUACAGUACGUGCAUGCAGAUUAUUCAUUAUUCAUUGUUAUUGUCUUCGCCACCGCAGAGGUAUUUAUCAACGACAAAGGUUAUCAAAGCCUCAAAUGUAUGAAAUAAUUGAUGUGACAGUUGAUGCAGACAUUAAUUAUUUAUUCCUGUAAAUUAAUCCAUGGCUGUAAUACAGAGAACUGUCAUAAGGUGAAUAAUGCCUGCAAUCAAUCAAUCAGUCAAUCAAUCAAUCAAUCAGGGCUUUUAAAUGCCUGGCAAGAUAUUAACUUUUAAAAUACUGCAGCUGUAACAAUGCAAAGUAAAGGAGAUUUACAUGUAAAUGCAUUUCUAACUGGUUUAAACUUUGUCACCGAGACACAAAAACAUCACAAAAUCAUCAGCAAUUAAUCAGCAAUUAGCAAAAUGGCAUCACCAUAAAUUAACAUGUGGCCAUAGUGGUUUUUUACCCAAUCAAGAAGACAAUUCUCAUUACCCUCAUGUGAAAGAAUGAGCUUUGGCUGCAGAGAGUUAAGUUGCUGACUUUUAACAUCAGGCAGACGUCCUUGAUUCACCAACAGGAUAAAGUCUUAACUCCCCUUUUCUGUCUGAGAGUAAUGAGAUUAGAGCAGCUAAGGCGCGGUGUGACAGGCAGGAUUCCUGUGGCUCCUUUUCAUUUUACACCGUUCACGCUGAACCCUCCUCCCUUGUCUCAUUCAUCAGGUCAUUAUAAAAGGAGGAGAGAACAAAAUGGUCAAGGCGUGAGCCCCGUGUGCUCCGUUCCUGUUAGACCCACAGGCCGCCGUGGUGCAGCUGAUCCCCGGCUGCAGCGGCUUUAAAAACUGGGUGGUGGAGUUUCCUUCUGCACGACACAUGCAAAUAACUACAGAAAAAAAAACAACUCCUAUUCGACUCACUGUGAAUAACAUGUUGGGGAGCAGGUGAGCUGUCGGGAGUCUGGCCACGUCUCGUAAACCAGAAUGUGAGAGCCGGGAACGAGGCCUGAGGACGCCAGGCUCCCGUCCAGUCAGCGCCUCUCUGCACCACACAUCCAAAAACUGCUCCUCAUCAUGUUCUCCUCCUCCUGUUCCACACUCCCAGCUUUCUUUCGACUUUUACAAGUAAUUCCAGAGUUAGGUUCAGCCUGCGUUGUGCUGACGUGCGGGUUGCAGAUUCCGAGAGGAGCCGACGGUGAGACGCAAUCAUGGAGACAAACUGUCAUUUGCAUAUCAUCACGACGUCGCUUAAAUCGCAAGCGGGGGCCGACUUUGCUGGACGCGAAUAACUGGGUGGUUUACGUUUUCAUAACAAGGCGCUCCGCACACGAUGGAGUCACACGAUUAAUCAGACGCUUGUGUUUACCGCAUUGGCUGGAAGCAAAGCAGCGAGGCCAGGAUUGGAACAAAGUCCAGAGCUGCAAAAUGAAUUGGCAGCAACCAGUACAGUCUUAUCAUCAGGUAAUGAAAACAGACCUGCACUGGUCUGUAAAACCCCCCUCCUCACUGACAUUUUAAGCCUCUUCACCACAAAGCUCAAUAUUUUAUUAAUGCUAAGGCCGUCAAAGUCAGAGCUACACAUUCCCUAACCUUUCAUAAAUGCCAUAAGUCACAAUCUAAAAAUCUUACACUUCUUUGAGUGCUAUUAAAAUACAUUUUCAGUUCCAGCUGUGGGGAUGGUUGGAAAGUUUGGACCAGACAGAACAACAGCUGCCGUCACUGUGAGGAGGUGCAGCCGGAGGCCACAGCAGCCUGGCCGCUCUACGACGGGGUCUGUGUGGAUGUUGGCGGUGAUGUUUGUCGUUCUCUCGUUUCCUCCGCUCGCAGACGCGCGGAAGACACGUGACGAAGGGCGUAAACAGCAGUGCUGCUGGUUUACACUGAUCUAGAAUCAGCGCCUUCUGCAGGAUGCGGCAGCUUGAGCUUUUCUAAUUGAAGACAAGGAAAGCACCUGGCCGGCCCUAUAGUGAAAGGCAGAUCAGCUUCUGUUAAAUAGGGGAAUACAUGUCUACAGUACUUUGCUAUUCUAGAUUAUUAAGUAAAAUGUUAUAAAUUAUGCCAUAGAAUAAACACACUGAGUAGAAAUCUCCAUUGUGUUGCAUCUUUGGUAGAAGCCAGAUGUUGCUUCCCGAGGCGUGUAAAUGUUUUAUACAGACGUUUUCGGGCCAUUUCUUAAAGGUGAAGGUCACUCCUGAGAUGGAUCUAUAAUUCUGGGGUUGAUCAGGGUCAUAAUGGCUUCUUUUUUUUAAAGGUGUUGAAUAGAUGUGUGAAUGUCUUGGGACACAGCCGGAGAGGGGGGAAUUAUUCAUGAAGGUAAGCAAAGGGGAGUCAAUAGCGCUGCCCCCAGGAAUUUAGAUGGCACAGAGUCAAGAAGCCCAGCACGACAAUGGCUCCAGCGAGUCCUCCAUCAUUAGUAGUUAUAUUUAUAUAAUUGUCUCUAGCCUUUGUUGCGACCGGUUUUAACAAGGUAAGUGCUUUAAUUAUAGGUGGCCAUGAAAUGUUCCCCGCAGCCUCUGACCGUUAUCAAACAGUAAUAUUAGUAUUUUUUUUCCAGUCAUAUUUUACAGGAGAACGGUCUCAAACCAACUAAAGACCCGAAGGAGAGAGCGGCGCAAUCAGCGCCUUGACUGCUGUGACCCCACUCGCUGCCUGAAACCGCUUUAGCCCAGCGUCGUCUCCUUCUCCGUGGGGCUGAGCUCUUCAUCUUCAUUCAUGCUCGCUCAUGUAAAAGUCUAGCGCUCUGGGCAGGUGUUCCAAUUAGCAUGGAGUGAUAAAUAUAUUCCAGCACAUGCAGACACAAAUAGCCAUAGCGUCCACUUAUGUCCUAAUUGGCCUGAGCCGCGUUUCUGAGUGUGCGAGCUGAGGAAUGCUCCUGUCUUGUGCUGCUCCCCAGCUGUGCUAAUGGUGGAGAAACAAAUACAGUCUUUAUUGUACAUGCUUAUGAUUGUAUGUACAGGUCUGCACAUUGUGCUCUGCUCAGACGAGACAAUAUUUAUUUUACGGUUACUUUUCUCUCUUUCAUUUUACCCAUAAUGAUUUACCGUAUCUCGGAAGACCUCAUAGGACCAUAAACGCCUCAUAGAACCUCCCACAUGUAGAAUGGGAGGAGCGCAUCUGACCAGCUCGCAGUGCAGGAGGCAGACCCGUCUCUGUUUCUAACACUAGUCCAGCUGCUGUAGACUGUGGAUGCAGAGGUCGUCCCUUCGCUCUCUCCGUCCCACACAUGCACACAGUAUGUCGCCAUUGAAUGCACCGCUCUCGUUGCUGUUGGCAGAUGAUGCAAUGAAUGAAGUUAGGCAACGGGCACGUGCACUAUGCCUUCAACUCAGACCAGGAUUAAAGGCUCCAUGCUCCUUUAUGUUAACCUGUGCACACACUUGCUGUAGGAUAAUACACUAGCUGUCAGUCUUUACUUGAUUGGAGACAGUGUGAUCAGGAGGAAUAAGUUAAAACUGAGAUAAAGUUUUAUAUUUUAGUUUACCCACUCUGCAGUUUCUCUAAGCUCUACAGUUUGUAGAUGGAGGAUUUAUUAUUGUUAUUAUACCAGCAUUUCACAUUUUCAUAACAACUCGUACAUUAUUCAUUACUACAUUAUUCAAUAUUCUUUACUUUAAAAGCAACUGAAUUCCUGGAACACGCUGGGAACUAAUCUACUAUACUGCAUUGUUUGCUCUUACACUACUUAAUAUUAUGAAUGUCCCCAUAUAAUUAUUGGACAAACAAAAACAAAACAUCUAUUAUCAACUAACUGAGCCCCAUCUGUGGUCAACGUGCCAGUGGGCAAGGCACCGGGUUACAAAUUGCUCCUGAAGGUUUGGCUACGAGACUAAUACGCACACACACAAACAUAGCAGCCGUGCGUGCGCGGACCCGCGGCGAUAGCUCUGCUUCUGCCCGCUGAUGUCACAUGUGGCUGCAGCGGCGGGGACCCACUCAUAAGUGAUUGUGGUUCAUAAACAAGGCUGGUGCCGCAGCUUUGAUAACCAACCUGGCAACGAAGGAGCUGCGCUGUUGUCUGUCUGUAAUAUGGAAGUUGAUGAAAUAUUUUGGUCUCAGUAUUGUCUCAUUACACAGGGCCAUCUGUACGUCAAUAUUCCUCUGCUAUCGCUAUCAUCGGAGUUUACAUCCAUUCUCCUACUUGGUGUUCAUGUGAGGAGAAUAAUUAAUAAUUAAUAUUAACCACUUGUUGUAAUUUCGUACAAAAAUGAAAGUCGUAUAGGAGCAAAAGGGACAAAGGGAGUAGCUGCAUUAAAGUUCAAACUGUGAUCGUCAGUCAGGCAGGUUGAUUAAAGAUUAGUUGUGUCAAAGGCAGUGACAACCGGAAACAAGCAGCUGGGACAAGCUAAAUACACAGGAGGGGAAAUGGACGGGCGCUUAAUGGACUGUACCAACGUUGGACUGAGACCAGAGGAGCAAAGACGACAAACAGCCAAGAGGUCAAUCAGAACCAGAACGAGUAAAUCUGUGCAUCAACAGUAAAGAAGUGGCAGUUUGUGACAUUUGUGCUUUUCUGGUAAAAGCAUGUCGGAUGUUGAUGUCAAAUGACUUACAAGGGUUUUAAGUGAUUGUGUGAUUGGUGUAGAGAUUAGUGGCACUGGCAGACACUAAUUAGUCCUAAAAUAUGUGCCUCCUACAUCUUAAUUCAUCAUAAACACUGCAGGUGAGACUUCCUGAUAAAACCUGUUCUCUGGAUGAUAGAGAUAAUAAAGGAAUAAAAUAAACAUUUGAACCAUGACCUCACAGAUCUCCACUGGUGGUGGAGAAGAAGGUGUGAUGUUUCUCCACAGCCUGUGCUUCAUUUCACUGAGUGAAUGAGCCUUGACUAUCUGCCUUGCUCUUUUGGGUCCACAUUUUAACAACAACGAGAAACCGUCGAGUCGAGGAAAUAAAAAGAAAGCAGCAGCUGGGAAAGGGACGCGACGCGGCGAAGAAGAGGAGAUGCAGCGAGGGAGCGCUGGUCAAGCGUGUGAAGAGCCAGUUAGCGGCAGCCACCGGAGCUAGGUAAACCAGCGCAGGAGGGUCCAAAUCCAAUCUGUGGGAACGUUUGUGCUGCAAAUAGUCUUUGGAGCCAGCACAGGAGCUUAUGGCGUUCCCACAGGCUUCCACGAGGGAGCCGUCGCUCUCAUUAGCAGCACUUUGACAGAGGAGGGGAAGCGGUCAGACAGAAUGGCCGGGUCACGGACCAACAUUCCUCACGCUUCUGUCCUUAUUUCACUUCAACCUUUAUCGUUGGACGUUUGACAUCCUUUCUCAUUUUCUCAUUCACUGGCCACAUUUCCCUUCAAAUGAGCGGACUUUGCAUAUUUGCCGCCUGCAAUGAGACGUAGCACGACUUGAUGACUUUUUUUCUGUGUGUGUUGCCGUUUCAGCUCAAUCACAAAGCAAAGCGACACAAACUUAAAUGACCACUUUACAGUAGGUUUGACCAACUGUCAUCAGAGACAAACAUCCAUGUGCAUCUGCAUUCCAACCCUCUUGAUUUGCUGGAUGAAUGCUUUUAAUGUGAAAGAGCUGCUGUAGUAAAUGUUUACAUCUAUGAGAAAAUUCUAAUAAAAUAAUGAGUUUCACAGUGGCACACUCCAA